AAGUGCUAGAAUAACAGGCAUGAGCCACCGUAUACACGUAUGACUCAAUUUUUGUAAAAAGAAAAAGUUGUAUGUGAAAAAAUGAAAAAAUCUGAGUCCAGUAAUUAUCUAUGGUUAUAUUAAGAAAGAUUAGAUGAAUGCUGAAGGGAGAGGAGAAGGGGAUACAAUGGUUUCACUUCCUAAUAUGGCUUAAAAAAAAACUUGUAGACAUUUACUCAUUUAAAAAAUUAACUUGGAACCUCUUACUAAGUGAGACUCAUAGCCUAUCUCAAAGAGCAAUAAUGUGACAUUUGAAGAUUUUACUGAUGUGGACGGACACAGAAACAAGAACUGAUAGAUAAGUUAUUAGAUGCCUUUGCUUUGGAUGCCUUUUCUCUUCUUUUUUGUAAAUUAUUAAUAAUGUUGGCAGGGGAGCAAUGAACUUGCCAUUAGGGUUUGGCAACCUGCUUGAGUUUCCUGGGUAUCCUGUGAUUCCUCUCUGUUCCUUGCCGCACAGCACUGGCUCAGAUCUGUGCCUUUCAUGUAGCAGCGGUGUGAAAACCUAUGCUCUCUUAUAGCCUCAUUUGGUUUCCUUUUUCAGGAUAUUACAUUAUGAAACAUUUCUGGAAAUUUGCAGCUUUCGACAGUAAAUACAAAUGAUUUGUGAUUCCACUAAGCCACUGCUUCAUAGUAGGCUGUUGAAUGGUGAACAUUUUAAGGAGCAUGGGAACAGGCAUAUUUUGUUUUGAUCUUGCACAGUCUCAUUUGAAGGAACGUUAUUCGUUUGAAGAUGGGCUAUGAUUUACAGAAAGGCAAUUAUAUUGAGAAAUAAUAACGAGCAUUUAGUAAUACAUAUCAAAAUGGAGAAUAUGAGUAACUUUAGACCAGAUCUAAAUUACAAGAUCUUUUAUUCUACACGAGUAAUUUUAACAGCUGAAAUUUGCCUAUCUUGUUGGUGAUCAGAUACCCAGUGCCCUCCAAAAUAUAGGGUCAAAUAAGAUGUGGGUGAUUUCUUCGUGGCAUAUCAUUCUAGGCCUAUUUUCUGUAAUUCAUUGUUUACUCACCUAGAGCUUAUACUCUAGUCUUAUUAAAUUUCUUGCUUUCCUCUAAAUAUCUCAUAUACUUCUCUGCUUUGAGAACUUUAUUCAAGUUAUUUCUGCUUUUUGGAAUACCUUUUCCCCUUUUCUUCCCUUCUUUUCUCUUUACUCUCCAUUGUCUCUGUGAUUCUUUUUGGUCCCUAACUACCCACAAACAAACACCCACCUCUGUUCCACUUCCUGUUUCGAUGCAAGAGCUUUCCCCAUGAAACCUCCCUACAACUAUCAGCUAGCAAGAAUCACUGCUCACUUAGCAUUCACAGCCCUUUAUUUACACUUAUGCCUUACACUGUUGCUUCUCAAUGGAUGGUCUAAGGAGCAGCAGCAAUAGCAGCCUCUGUGGGUUGACUAGAAACACAGAAUCUUGAGUCUUGUCCUAGACUUAUGGAAUGUGUGAAUCUCCCUUUUACCUCAUUUUCCAGGUCCUCCUUAUGCAUGUUACCAUUUGAGAAGCUCUGUCUUAGAGAAGAUAUCCAACUUUGCCUUCACUUGGUUGCUUUUGUGUCAGUGGGUUCUGAUAUAAUCUGUCUUGUGAUCACAGACUAUGUCCUUAGCAUUCAUCUGCAAGGCAGGAUGGAGGGCUUUGCACACAGUAGGGGCUCUUAGCUGUGUGUUGUUGAAUAAAUGCUUGCAUUUUCAAUGAAGGGGGGGUUUGAGGGAAAUAUACAAAUACAGGGUAUUUCCGUAUUCAUGUCAGCAAGAUGUCAUUCAGAUUGUCUGGUUUCCAUCAUUGCUGUGGUUGGGUUUUAUACACCGUUGUACAAAGGAACUGAUACGGUGUGGCUGUUUUCUCAUCCAAAUCUCAUCUUGAAUUUUAGUUCCCAUAAUCCCCAUGUGUCGUGGGAGAGACCCAGCGGGAGGUAAUUGAAUCAUGGGGGCAGUUACCCCCAUGAUGCUGUUCUCCUGAUAGGGAGUGCGUUCUCAGGAGAUCUGAUGGAUUUAUAAAGGGCUUUCCCCUGUUUGGCUUAGCACUAAUAAACUAAUACAGAGACUUAGUACCUUAUCAAAUCUGUUUCCUCCUCUCACCUCUUUGAGAAAAAGCUACAGUGAUGUGGAGGAUUCGAGCUUUCAGAAACUCAGGUGAGUUCACUGUCCAGGAGAUUAUAUUUAAAGCAUAAGGAAAUACUUUGUGUUAAUAUUUUAUGACUAGGGCUAUAUCUGUAUAUCUGUGACAAUUGUAUAUUUGUUCAGGAAUUGGAAGCCUGAUCACAAGGUCAGAGUAAGGUCCAGAAUCAGAGUUUGGUGCAUCUGAUCUUAGGAAAAUAACAUUGUUUUAGUUUAUUAUAUUUCCUUUUGUAAAAUUGACAAGCAAAAGCUUCAUAAUUUCAAAAGAGCUUUUCUAUCUUGUAUUACAGAUUGUAACAGACUUGCAUUCAGACUCAUUCUCACAGUAUCUUCAUCUGCCCCACCUCCCCUGGUAUUCCUGUUUUUCUUAGUGUUAUUUUUGACUUCUCUCAUCUGUACAUAUUUCUUUUGCAGUUUUCUUAGUUAUUCUAUUCGUGUUCCAAUACUUAAAACAUCUGUAUCAUAUAACUCUGGUGACAUUCCUGACCCUUUACAAAAUGUGUGCAGUUACUAAAAUUACAAUAUAUAUAAAUAUAUAAAAUAAAAUAAAUAAGAUUAAAGUAAAAAUAAAAAUAAUAAAAUACAAUGAAAUAGAUAUAAAUAAUUAUAAAUAAAAUGUAAAAAAUAACCAAACAGGUGAUUAUUUGACAUAUAUAAGAAAAAACACAGUAGGGACUUGCCAUUUUUAUUUCUGUUAUUAGAACAGAUCUUGAAAAUGUAAUGUCUGUUACAUCCAUUUCUUUUAGAUUUGGAUUAUUAAGAUUAUUAAGACAUUGUUGAUUAUUAAGAUUGUUAAGAUUUAGACAUUGUUUGAAUACUUCUUUCUACUUUUAAUGGCCAUUUAAAAUAUAUAUAUAUAUAUAUGUAUUUUAUGGGUCUGUGCUCUCCCUGUGGCAUUUCAAUGAUACAAAAAAAGGAUUAAAGAAACCAAAACAAAACACUACUUGUUUCACUGUCAAACCUUAAGUUCCUUACAAUAAAAUGAAGUAGAGAAGAUGUGCACACAUAAUGAGAAAAUGCUAGCAUACAUAUACAUACAUACAUACUUAUAUAUGUGUGUGUGUGUGCGUGUGUGUGUGUAUAUAUAUAUAUAUAUAUAUAUAUAUAAUUGUCAUAGGGUUUUUGUUUAGAGAAAUCUAGGAGGUCUUGGAUAUGCAAAAAUGACAAGGUUAGUAGAGCACUGAAGGAUAUUUUAGAUGAAUCCUGAUUACUUGUUACUCACAUUCAUAUAUCCUCCCUCUCUCUUCCGACCUCUCUGCCUUCCUCUCUCCUCACAGGUCUCUUACUACCUUUCCCUCCCUCUGUCCUGAUUUUGUCUUUCGUGGAUGGAUGUUCAUCGUAUGAUGUCCAUUCUGAAGCUGAAAGCCUCAAAGACUCAAAGGCAGAUAAUUCUCUUUUUGAAAGUCAUAUUACAAAACCCUUUUCACGAACCUGUCUAUAGGGAAAUUUCUUCCUGUCCUGGCUGUGCAAUUAACCAUUUAUUUGUUUUCAUGGAUACCAAUGCUCAUUCAUUUUAAACUUGGUAUUUUUUUUCCUCCUGAGAAGUUCAUUGUUCUCUUUCUUCAGUUUUCCUAUUUGUUUGUAAUAAUAGGAAUUAGUCUUUCCAUGUAUCUGUGUUGAUUUUUUUUUAUAACUAAAUUUAUUUUAGUGAAAAUUAUAGAGGUUAUAUGUUUAGGAGCUGUUGGGGAAAUAAAAUUAAAAGCAAAAUCUCCCAACUGAGAAAUUCUCUCUACAAAAGUGAGAGAGAAAGAAAACACAUUUAUUUAUUUAUUCUUGAACAUGCAUUAUUAAAUCAGAAUGUGAUGUACAUCGAAGGUAAUCCCCCAAGAGAUUGCAAAGACAGAAAGAAAUCUCACUAUUUUAUGAAGCCAAACAGCCCAUUACAUGCAUGUUUUGAAGAUAAACAAUAACUUGUCCCCCAAGUAAGCUUGACAGCACCGUUUGUCACACAUAGCUCAUCCUAACUUUACCUGGUAAUUGGGGUGGCCAUCCAUGUUAACUGAUUGGGUUUGGCCAGAGGAAAAACAAACUUUUCAUAUCUUUAUGACAGGAGGUAAUUUUUUAACUUGCUGCAAGGUGCCUACCAAAGUCAGACUCCAGCUCUCCCACAGAAACUGGGAGAUAGGGGUGCUAGCUACCUUGAUGUUCACUUUUCAAGGAGAUGGCCUUUAGGUCUUUGUAAAGGCAUUCCUAGGUCACAAAGCUGACAAAAGUCCUUGUCUAGUCUUCAAAAGGAUUUGUAUACAUUUCAAAGAGUGCAAAAAAUACUCAAUAAUUGCAAGUUAACCAAAGUAAAUGCUCUGAGAAAAAGUAAGAGGGUGAAGAAUCUUUUCCCUUAUUUUCGAAAAGAAUUAGGCUUCUUAUUUUUAAUAUGUACUUAUUCUGACAGGAGGUAGGUCCUAUUUCAUUAUGUUUGACUAAGCAGUUCGGAAUUAAAGUUUUACUUUUUCUGAGUUUGAGAUUCAGCUGAGGUUAGUCUUUCAUGGUUUGAGAAUUCAUUAGCAUUUCUUCUAUUUGUAUUUUUAUUGUGACAAAAUUUACCAUGUUAACCAUUUUUGAGUCUACUGUUUUGUGGAAUUAAGUACAUUUUCAUUGUGGUGCAACUAUCCCCAUCAUUCAUCUCCAGAAUUUUUCACAUUUCCUAUUGAAACUGGAGCCAUUAAACACUCACUUCUCAUUCUGUCCUCCCCUCAACCCCUGGCAACCACCAUCAUUAUCACUUUAACCUACCUAUUCAGGCUGCCUGUGAAAUUUCAAUAAUAUCCUGUCUCUGGAUGAGAAGUGGAGAAUUGUGUUUGCCCAGGAUUUUAAAGACAAAGAUGUUUUAUUGAGAAGCUGACAGAAAACAACGUAAAAACCUUGAACGUGGUGCACCCAUUUAUAAAAAUGAUGCCAUACUAAUUAUAAACAACUUAAGUCUGUGCAGCUCCCCAGAGAUGUCUCAUUUGUGCCCCUUCAUUACUAUCAAACUAAUAAUUAAAAACCUUUCUGGUGAAAGAUUUUUUUGCAUAUAAUUCAGGGAUUUUACUAACGUAGAGUUGGCAUUUUUCACAGCCCUUGCUCCAGUGAAUUUUUAUCUUUCUUAAUUGAUCUUUUGGACACAGCAAACUAAAUACUGAACCCUUCAUGUAUUUUGUUUUAUAAACUGCCAUGAGCGUUGGCGAGAAUAAUGUGAAAGAAUCAGGGCAGACAAUCUGCUGCAGCCAGACAACCUGUCUUAAAAUCAAGCUUUGCUGUUUGAUUGUUGUGAUAUCUUGCGUUAGACACUUCACCUUUUGGCACCUGAUUUUAUCAUCUGUAAAACAGGAAAAUUAUAUUCCUUUUUGAGUCAGUUGUGUGACUAUCAAAUAGAAUAAGACAUGAAAGAAAGCGCUGUGUAUAGUGUCAAAGCACGAAUUAUUUCAGUUGAGUAAUGUACUUAGCAUAAAGUAGGAAUUUGGAAAAUGCUUGUUGAAUGAAUGAACAAAUGUUAUUUUCAAAGUUAAUUUUUCUUGGGCUCUCUCUUCUCCACAUGUAUGCCUGUCAUGGCUUAUAACCUCCCUUCUCUUGGCUUUCCUCUGAUAUUUGAUCUUAUCCUCCUCUCCUACCCAAAUUAUGCUUUCAGUUUAAAAGCUCCAGAUCUCAGAGUUUGGGUAAUAAUCUGAAAGGGGUCGUGGAAUUUCUGUUAUAUUCUUUCAUAGAAAACUCUUUCUUUCUAAAUGGAACUGCUUCCUGAAAGCUUUUGGGGUUUAGAAAUGGCAAUUAGAGUUACCCAUUGUAACAUACAGAAAGAUUAAGGGAUUUUUUUUUUUCCUAGCAUCGGUAGACUCUGGGGAGUUUAUCCUAGCCAAAAAAAAUGAUGAGCUUCAAUAAUGUUAAGUCAGACAUGUGAAUCCAAAUUAAACAAAAUUUAUGGUGUAAGUCCAAGCUGCUCCCUCUAUGGUCACUUGGGUGGGAGCUCACUGAGCAACUCUGUUGUUCAGUGUCACCAUGCACAUGAUAAAUGCAAAUGUAUGUAUUAUAAAGCAUCAUAACCAAGGCUUACACUGACAAAGGCAGACGACAAUCUCAAGGUAUUCUGUUGAAUGUACCUUGCCUGACAUAUUUUAGUGGAAAAAUCAUCCACAAUGAUCUGAGAAAGAAAUGAUUGUUGAGAGACCGAAGCGGUAGAAAACACAUAAAGAAAUUAUAGUAUUUUCCUGGAUUGAGAAACAGCCUGUAGAAUCACUCUGUUUAGAGGAAUGUAAUUAUUCAAUCAAUAAUCCAGAGCGAUUUCUAUAUGCCAGGCUUCAUGCUAGGCCCUGGGAGCCAAAAAUGAAUCCGAAGUGGACCCUGUCUGCAAGGGUCUUAAGAGAGAAGAGAUACACGCUUAAUUAAUAGUACGAGUACAUUACUGAGACUAAAGAGGAAACUUAGCUAAAGUUUUAGGGAGAAGGGAGAAAUCACAUCUGACAGAGGGAAGCAGGGAGGUUUUAUGAAGGAACUGGUUUCAGAACUAUGCCCUGAAGGACAGGUGGUACUUGUACAUGUGGAGAGGGUAAUGAAGGGCAUCCCAGGCAUAAGAAAUGAGUAAAGGGGAAGGCAGGCAGGUGGUGACCUGUAGCAAUGUCUGUAUUUGUACCUGUGGUGGGAAUCCUUGCUGUAUGAGAAGUGGAGGUACAGCAAAAGGUUGGAAAGAGAGUUUGCUGCCAGAUCAUGGAGGAUCCAGAAUGUCAGUGAAGGGCAUCAGGGAAGUAGCACUAGGAUAUGAUGUUUGAAAAAACUGCUUCGGUCUUUGUCAUCAGUCAGCCUUUACAGGUGUUCCCAUGGCACCCAACACUUACCUGAGGCUUAUGGGCCUUCUUGUUUUUAUGGUGGUAAAUAUCUCUUCCUCUGGUUUUAUAGAAGGAGAUUUCAGUCCGUUUUUUAUAUAUUAGAGAAUGAAAAUAAUAUUUACAUGCAAAAACUCUUUGUAGGUCACCUUAAUAAAUACAUUCAUUUUCUUAUCAUCUUCCUCUUUUUCAGAAAAAGAAGAACAAUUAAAAAUAAUAGCACUUUUUAUUUUUCUAACAUUAAGGUCACACAGGUGAAAGGGUUAUUUGCUGGGUCUUGUAUGUGCUUACUCCGUUUAUAAUUGGAAGAAUAAAGACUCCCCUCUGUUUUCUGACUUUUCCUCUAUGGUGUCUUAUGUUCUGAUUUGGCCACAGUCUUUAAGUAUCCAAAAUUCUGGAAGCAGUGAAAUUAUAAUUGACUCCAAUUAGCUACACUGGUGGAGCAUAGCAUCCUCAUACUGAAAUGCACCAGUGUGUCUUACAUCUCAUUUUAGCUAGCCAUUGUGUCAUUGUUCCGCCCUCGGCUUGCCACAGGAAUGGUUUAGCAAGUUAGAAAAUUGAUUUGAAUUUCCUACUUUUUUCCCAAUUAAAAAUUCAUGACCCUUACUAUAAAAUUACCUCCAGUAGGAGUAAUACACUCAAUGAGAGAAUUUAUAGAAAUUCCUCAAAGCCUGAUGUACUGUUAGGGGACAAACUCCACCUCCCCUCCCCUUUUUUUCUGAAAGAACAUCACUCAGCAUUUCUAAACUGUGUUUAAGUAUCCUGAUGCUUGGAGAUAUUGCUAAACAAGAAUUACUUAAGUCAAUUAGGUUUGAGAAACAUUGUAUAUUAUUACUAAGCAAUUUAGUUUUACAACAUGCAUUAGCAUCCUAAAAGGCCCUGAAAGAAGUCCUGUGGAAAAAGAUAACUUUUAAACCUAUUUUACCUAAUAUUAAUGACCUAAUGUUUCUCUAACAUGAGGGUGAAUUACCAAAACAUAGUUUUUCAAAAUCAUUCUGUAAAAGCCCGAGCUGAACAAUGUGAAUCAAUAUGUGGCCUUCAGAGGGUCUAAGUUAAUCUAAGCAUAAAAUUAAAAAAUAUCAGGAGACUCUAACUAAGGAGGUGCAUUUAUUAGGACUAAUAGUAAAUGAAUCCAUUGAAUCCAUCCUCUAUUUACCUACCAGGAUUUACACGAGAAUUUUUUCAUAGCCUAGAGAUCCUUUAAAACCCUGUCUGUGUUAACGGAGCUGCUACAUCUGAUAUUAUUUUCCUGAAUCUGAAGAAACACCAAAGGGGACUGAAAUAAUAAGACAUUAAUUUCGGCUGUAGAAUGCCGAUGUUGCUGACCCUGCAGGGUUAUUGCAGAGGGAGAUUAAUUAUGCAGAUCUGCCACCCUAGGCUUGGAGUUGAAGUACCCUGUUGUAAUUCACUGCAGGAUCAUUCACGUAGCCAGCACAUUGAUAUGAUUAUUAUUCCACCAAGGUUUUUAUCUGCCCCUAGACAAUUACAGAACCACUUACCAGCAUCUCUCAUUGACUUCUUAUUUAAAAUUCCCAGGGCCACGGCAGGCAUUCGAGUCCUUUUAUUGGAGACAGCUACAGAUCAAUGGCAUGAAGCAACAUGGGAUUUUCUUUAGGACAUGACAAAUGCUGAGAUUGUUGCUAAGCAGAAGAUAGACAUUCGGAUUCCAGUAGAAAAUAGUUGUAGUGGCUCCUUAUCUCUCACACAAACUUUUAAGGCAAUGACAAGAACAUACAAUGGAAAUGCUAUGAGAUUUGGUGUCAAGGCAUUUGAGUUUGAACACUGGCUUCACCAUUUGGUAUCCAUGAAGCUAUAGUUCUUCUGUAAAAUGGAAUCGAAGUUAAAUGACAGGCUCCUGGCAGCUUGAGGAUCUGGAGAUCUCAUUAGGUUGUGAGAUUAAAUGUAUAUAUGUGUGAAAUCCCUGCUAGGAUAUGUAUAUGUGUGUGAAUCCCUACGAGGUUGUGAGGUUUUAGUGUAUAAAUGUCAGAAAAAAAACUCUGUGAAUGAUAAAAUGUUUUAAAAAUAUUUUUGUGCUAAUGAGAAUGGCUUUCAUUUCCUGUGUAGUCAUAAUGGAACAUCCUUUUCAUGGCCCCAUUGCUUGGGUGAUGACCUAUCAAUGCCUGUAAUCACCUAACACAGAAUGUAGUAACUAUGCAUUGGUAUGAUUAGCAGCUCCAUGCAGUGUACAUUCUUGAAAUGAUGUGAAGAAUAAAAUUUCUAUUUCUUAUUGCUGCCCUUAGCCCGUGGUUUUAGGGACUUCAAACCUGCAAGAUAAUAUUCAUCUAAUUUGCAUUUUUUCAGUUAAGAUUUCCUUUCUGUUCUGUAGAUCAGUGGUAAAAAGUAUAGCUUGUUUGGUUUGGUUUGUUUUAAUUGUCCCCUAAGAGCCUUUCUUCCUUAUGCAUGGCUGCAUCACAGAAUGCUACCUGUCUUCAGAGGCCAGCUGUAGUAUCAGCUCCAAGGAGUCUUUCCACCCUCACUCCUCAGUAUAAACUUCUCUCCCCACAACUCCUACUCUCUACCACAUUAAAAUGCAAGUAAUUCCUUCCCCACGGCAUGUAGGCAUGUUGCUUGGACUGAUUUGUAUACUUAAUAAUAGCAUGAGCAAACACAGAUAACUAGCUUUGUACAGUUAAAUAAUAACAGCAAAUACACUUUUAGGCAUUUUAUAUAUCUUAACUCAUGUAAUCCCCUCAGCAAUCAUAGAAAGUAGAAAAUAUUAUUCUCCCCAUUUUGCAGGUGGGAGAAGUAAGUCAUGAAGAGAUUAAGUAAGUAACUUGCCCAAUAUUUCAUAGGCACCAUGUGGCAGAGCUAGGAGCUGGUAAUUAAAAUAAUAGGCUUUUAAACUAUGGGGUUACAAUGAGUCAUAGGCAAAUUGGAGAUUUGUAUAGGUUGUAAGUUCCUGGAUGUCUGGGACGAUGAAAAUCUGUGUCAUCCAUUAGCAUUUAGCAUAAGGGCUCCACAUGGUAAGAGCCCAGUUAAGUGAAAUAGCUUUGCAUUGGGAAAAUCACCCCUUAAAAGUUUAUGAGGCAGCCAGAAAAUGCCCCCCUUGUCCUCUGUCAACAUUUUUUUAGUGUAUGUUCUGCCCUCCUGCUCAAUAUGCUUGUCAGAGCAUUUUAAAACCUCACAUUAAGCACCGCUUGAGCACCUCUCUGUUUUUGUUUUUUUGUGAGUAGCUGUGUGAUAAAGAUAAGGCAUACUUGUUGAAAUUAGGGUUACUUGAGUCUUUAGUGGUUUAUGGAUCAGUAGAUAAUAGCACUAUAAAAUUCCAGCUUAUUCUCUUUCUGAUGAAAGGGGAAUUGCAUGGUGUUACUUUAUUGUCAAUAAAGUCACCAAAUGUCAAUGCAUAUGAAAAGAACUCUGGCCAUAGUCCUCCUCCCCUUCCCCCUAUCCAGUGUGAUCUGGUGGACUGAGGUCACAGCCCAGACUAUGGGACUGGUGGGUGCACAUUGCCAUCUGUCAGGAUGAUCCUGGUGCCCAAAAAUUAGUGAAAGAAGCCAUAGAAUUUCCUCAGCAGGGACACAGACUAACACAGACCUCCUCAGUGUUAGUUCAUAAGGAGAUUUUCUUUAACACUUUAGGUACAGAGGCAUGAUAUUUCUUUAAGACUUAUGUUUUUGGCUUAUAGGAGUUCCCAGGAAGACUUGGAAUAUUAUCUUUGUGCUUUAGGGACAAGACUGGGGAUUGGAGCAGUGAGGAUGCCUAAUAGGCUGUUUUCUCCUAUAGAAUGAGAAUACCUGGAGGAUGACACUUCUGUGGUAUGUAAUGAGUCUCUACUUUUAUGGAAUUCUGCAAAGUGAUGCCUCAGGAUUAUGGCCUCCAACUGCAUGAAUAUUGCUACAAAGGGAGCUAAGCAUUGAGCACAUGUGGACAUCAACAUGGGAACAAUAGACACUGCAGACUACUAGAGAGAGGAGGGAAGAGGGGACAGGUUGAAAAAUUACCUAUCGGGUAUCUGUACCCCAAACUUUCAGGAUCAUGCAAUAGUCCCAUUUUACUAACCUGCAUGUGUAGCUUGUAUCUAAAAUAAAAGUUGAAAUUAAAAAUAAUUUAAAAAUAAAAGUACUUAUUAUCUGACUGUAUUUCAAUCUAGUUAAAUUUGUAUUUAGAAGUAAAGGGUAACAAUUUUUAGAAAUAAGAAAGUAUAUAGAUCUGAACUGUUGUAAUCCUUGGGAUGGCAAGCAAGAGGCAAUUGUGACAGGUAUGAUAGUUUAAGCCUUGGCUCUUUGUUUCUAUCUGUAAAUUGAUAUGGUGAUAACUUUUCUAGCACAGAGAUAAUUUCGACAUUCAUGAAAUGACCUUGGUAGACUAUUAAAUUAGAAGCUUUCUGAGGGAAAAUAGAUAUUGCCAUAGAUUUUCCUGCAUUAUAACCAUGGCUCAUCUUUCUGUAUUUGUUAGUGUGUCAUGUCAAGAAAAUAAGCAUUAGCUACCCAAAUACUUGGAAUUUGAAAUUAGCAACUCCCCACUUUCCUCCAUCAGUCUACUAAUAUUGGAUACUGUAUUAGUCUGUUCCCAAGUUGCUAAUAAAGACAUAACAGAGACUGGGUAAUUUAUAAAGAAAAAGAAAUUUAAUGGACUCAGAGUUCCAUGUGGCUGGGGAGGACUCAAAAUCAUGGAGGAAGGUGGAGGAGAAGCAAAGGCAUGUCCUACAUGCCAGCAGGCCAAAAAGCAUGUGCAGGGGAAUUGCCCUUUAUAAAACCAUCAGAUCUCAUGAGACGUAUUCACUAUCAUGACAACAGCAUGGUUAACCCUCCCCACCACCACCGUGAUUCAAUUACCUCCCACUAGAUCCCUCCCAUGACAUAUGGGGAUUAUGGGAACUACAAUUCAAGAUGAGAUUUGGGUGGGGACACAGCCAAACCAUAUCAGAUGCUUAGCCCGAAACCUAUCAAUACACUCUGAUUCUUACCUGCUUUAUCUACUCAUUUAAACAUUUCUCUUCAUUACAGGCAGCUUUCUGUUUUGUUUAUUUUUGGUUUUGCUUUUAAGAGCUCCGUACUACAGAGUAUACUAAGCUAGUUGUCAACAUUUCAAUAUGUGUAGGCAUGGUUAUGCAUGUGUUAAGCAAAUGAGUACUUCCUCCUUUAUCCAUCGGCAUUCCUUCAUUUCUCUAUGCAAUAAACAUACGUUGUGUUAGGCUUACACUGUGUGCCAGCUACAGUUCACAUUACCAUUAUAUUCACUAACCAUUAUAUUCACUAACCAUUAUAGUGAUGAAUAAUAUCAAAUAGCAUUUUAUAGUAUUAAAAUGCUUACAUUAUUUUAUCUUAGAAUAACAUUGUAAAAUAUAUUAUUAUUCUCAUUUCACAAAUAAGGAAAUAGAAGCCUGGAGAGAUUAGGUGGUUUAGACAUAGUUUUACAUAUAGGAAGUAGAAGAACCAGAACUCAAGGUUUUGUCCUCUGUUCUCAAGCCCAUGAUUCUUUUCUCCUGGCAGACCCAAGGGAUAUCUACCCUUUUAUUACUGAGGACAUCUUUUAUUUUAUAUUUUUUCUAAAGAUUCCUUGUAUUGCAAGCAAUAAAAACAGACACAUUAGUCAUGCAGCCAUCACAACAAUCUAAUUUUAGAACAUUCCAUCACCCCAAAAGGAAGCCCUGAGGAUUAGCAGCCAAAUCCACAACCCAUUCUCCCCUCCCUAAGCCCUAGGCAACCACUAGUCUACUUCCUGUCUCUAUAGAUUUGCCUAUUUUGGAUAUUUCUUAUACAUGGGUUGAUAUUUUAUGUGGCAUUUUGUGAUUGAUUUAGUUUGCACUUAAUGCAAUGUGUUCAAGGUACAUCUAUGAUAUAGCAUGUAUCACUAUGUUAUUUUUUAGUAAUGAAUAAUAUUCAUCAUUGAAUUGAAUCAUAAUUGAUAAAUAUUACUCAUCUCUGAUGGACCUGUGUGUGGUUUCCAGAUUUUGACUAUCAUGAAUAAUGCUGCUAUGGACAUAUGUGUACAAGUUUUUACUUGUAUGUUUUUAGUUUUGUUGGGUAUAUAGCUAUAAGUUGAAUUACUGAGUUAUGGUAACUCUAUGCUUAAUAUUUUGAAAAACUGACAUUUUCCAAGGUAACUGUACCACUGUAAAUGUCUUUUUGAAGUAUUUUGAAGUAUAUACCUCUUUGAGGUAUUUGCACUCUGUGUAAAUGGAGAACAACUCGUGUGCACAUCUUAUGUUCAACUUUUUUCAGCUUUCAUGUAUCUCCUGUUCAACUUUCAUACUCAGCUGAUUUCAGCUCCAGUGAAUAUCUGUCUAGAUAUGGGACUGCUGGAUCAAAUGCUACUCUUAUUUUUAAUUAUUUGGCAACACUUCCAUAGUGUUUUUCUAGAAUAGAUAAAGAGAAGGCAUUAUAUCAUACAAUUGAAUAUCAGUCAGUCCUAAAAAAGGAGGAAAUCCUGCCAUAUGCAUGGACCUGGAGGACAUUAUGCUAACUUAAGUAAGCCAGGCACAGAAGGAGAAACACUACAUGAUGCUAUUUAUAUGAAGAAUCUAAAAUAGUUAAACUCAUAGAAGCAGAGAGUAGAAUGGUGGUUGCCAGAGGCUGAGGAGGGGGAGAAAUGGAGAGCUGUUAAUCAAAGGAUGCAAAGUUUCAGUUAUGCAUGGUAAGUCCUAGAAAUCUACUGUACACCAUAGUGCCUGUAACACUUCUGUAUUGUAUACUUAAAAGUUUGCUAAGAAAUUAAAUCUUAUAUAAGGUGUUCUAAUCACUAAAAUAAUUAAUAAAUAAAUGAAUACAUAAUAGGGCAGGAGCAAACUUUUAGAGGUUAUGUAUAUGAUCAUGGCAUAGAUUAUGAUGAUGGUUUCUUGUCCGUGUAUGUAUCUUCAAACUCAUCACUUUGUGCACAUCAAAUAUGUACAGGUUUUUUAUGUCAAUCCUGCCUCAAUAAGGUGUUUUUUUAAAAGAAACAGCAGAAGAGGUCACUGUGAAUUCAGAGGUCUUCAGAGGAUUCAGCCCUUUAAUCUCUGAUUCAGUAAAGGGGCAUCUGAGUGUUUCCUUUUUUGUUAGUGUAACAAAUAUAAAUCUCAGUGCUAUGGGAACUCAGAAAAUGUUCUGGAUCAAAACAUGCCCUGGGUAAUUCACAAUGUAUAAGGCAGAGAAGAAAACCCUGGACCCAAGUCAAAUCCUGGCUCCGUGUGACUCUCAGUGUCCUUAUCUAUAAAAUGAAGCUGAUAAUAUCAGCUCUGCUUGCCCCACAGAACUGUUUUGGAGAUCCAGUGAGAGAAUGAAUCUAAAGUUUUCUGUAACCAGUAAAAGCAAAUAAGGAAGCAGAUGCUCAGUCAGAUGAGCCUAGAAACAGAUACCACAUACUUGGCAGAUAGGUAAGCACCAAUUGGUGCUCUGUAUUAUGAGAUUAGGAUAGAGACUUUUUACCUUGGAAGGUGUGUGCUUGCUUACAAGAAUCCAUAUUGCCAAAUGUGAGCAAACCCUUGCCCAUCAGAGUUUUUGCAAAAUUCAGAUGUUCAGUUAUAUAUCAGUUGUUUAAGAAUUCAAAAGUAGAUUGUAGCUUAUUUUUCAAAACCAGUUGCUUUACAACCAGUUUAUGAUUCUGUGAUUCUCUGCUACCUUCCCUGAUUUUGAUGACUCUAAAUCAGUUGAGGCUUGUAUUAUUUUUCUAUUGUAUUUUUCUUUUCUUUUUUUUAUUAUACUUUAAGUUUUGGGGUACAUAUUUACUAAAGAAAGAUGGGAAAAUAAAAUUUAUUCAUUCAACAGUGAUUGUUUGUGGUAUUUCCGUGAGCCAGGUAUUUGAUAGGCAUUAGGAUAUGAUAAGGAGCAAAAUAGUCCCUGUUCUUUACUUCAUACUCCUUUAUAUAUUAUCUGUUCCAUGUCUAACUGUAUCAGGGCCCCUGCUAUUCACCAGGACUCGUGGAUGGCACCAAUACUGUGUUUUAAAAAUGAAAAACAAAGCAGAGGUCAAAGUUAGGUUCUAAAAGAAAUAAAUAUGAGGAAUAACAUAAGGAAUAUAAAAGAUGUUGAGACUGCAAUUCAGUUUUGUUGCUAAUUUAUUGUGUGAAUUUGGGCGAGCUACUUAACCUGUCUGAAUCUGUUUCCACAUCUGUUAAUUUGCUUAGCUAUUGGCUCUUACAAACUAGCAAUCCAUACUUUGAGAUUCAAGAGCCUCUGAACCAAGUUGCCUUUCUUUUUCUUUACGUUUUUGAUCAAUCUAUCUUUGAUCAUUUUCCAUGUGGCUCUAUCUGCUCCUCUCCAUCUUAAGUAUCCUAGUCCAAGCCACAUAAUCUCAUUCUUUAACUUUUCUUUUCUUCUCUCUCUCUCGGUCUCUCUCUCUCUUUUUUUUCUUUUGAGAUG
Long non-coding RNA from Cebus imitator (Panamanian white-faced capuchin), 15210 nucleotides. RefSeq lists it as uncharacterized. NCBI's taxonomy places the organism in Eukaryota, Metazoa, Chordata, Mammalia, Primates, Cebidae. The record is from RefSeq and is a predicted model, not a curated record. The transcript has 3 exons.